Molecule: ribosomal RNA, 1356 nt
Filed under: metagenome
Description: bacterial SSU rRNA
Rfam family: Bacterial small subunit ribosomal RNA
Source: RNAcentral
UUCGGUGGAAAGAGUAAAGUGGCGCACGGGUGAGUAACGCGUGGGUAACCUGCCUUUGAAUCUGGGAUAACCCCGUGAAAACGGGACUAAUACUGGAUAAUGUCCCUUUGGCUGUGGCCUUAGGGAUGAAAGGUGACCUCUUCAUGAAAGUUGCCGUUCAAAGAGGGGCCCGCGUACCAUUAGCUUGUUGGUGGGGUAACGGCCUACCAAGGCUACGAUGGUUAGCUGGUCUGAGAGGAUGAUCAGCCACACUGGAACUGGAACACGGUCCAGACUCCUACGGGAGGCAGCAGUGAGGAACUUUGCGCAAUGGGGGAAACCCUGACGCAGCAACGCCGCGUGAGUGAUGAAGAUUUUCGGAUCGUAAAGCUCUGUCAAGCGGGAAAAAAUUCUUUCGGUCAAUAGCCGGAAGAACUGAUGGUACCGCUGGAGGAAGCACCGGCUAACUCCGUGCCAGCAGCCGCGGUAAUACGGAGGGUGCAAGCGUUGUUCGGAUUUACUGGGCGUAAAGAGCGUGUAGGUGGUUUAACAAGUCAGAUGUGAAAGCCCUGGGCUCAACUCAGGAAGUGCAUUUGAAACUGUUUUUCUAGAGUAUGGGAGAGGAGAGUGGAAUUCCCAGUGUAGAGGUGAAAUUCGUAGAUAUUGGGAGGAACACCGGUGGCGAAGGCGACUCUCUGGACCAAUACUGACACUGAGACGCGAAAGCGUGGGGAGCAAACAGGAUUAGAUACCCUGGUAGUCCACGCCGUAAACGAUGAGAACUAGGUGUAGCGGGUAUUGACCUCUGCUGUGCCGCAGCUAACGCAUUAAGUUCUCCGCCUGGGGAGUACGGCCGCAAGGCUAAAACUCAAAGGAAUUGACGGGGGCCCGCACAAGCGGUGGAGCAUGUGGUUUAAUACGACGCAACGCGAAGAACCUUACCUGGAUUUGACAUCCUCUUGCCACCCUGGAAACAGGGUUUAUCCGACUUGUCGGAAGAGAGAGUGACAGGUGCUGCAUGGCUGUCGUCAGCUCGUGUCGUGAGAUGUUGGGUUAAGUCCCGCAACGAGCGCAACCCUUGUCUCUAGUUGCCAGUAUUAAGUUAGGGACUCUAGAGAGACUGCCUCGGUUAACGGGGAGGAAGGUGGGGAUGACGUCAAGUCCUCAUGGCCUUUAUAUCCAGGGCUACACACGUGCUACAAUGGGCUGUACAAAGGGUAGCUAACUCGCGAGAGUACGCCAAUCCCAAAAAGCAGUUCUCAGUUCGGAUUGGAGUCUGCAACUCGACUCCAUGAAGUUGGAAUCGCUAGUAAUCGUGGAUCAGCAUGCCACGGUGAAUACGUUCCCGGGCCUUGUACACACCGCCCGUCACACCAC